Molecule: ribosomal RNA, 468 nt
Filed under: uncultured bacterium
Lineage: Bacteria
Description: partial 16S ribosomal RNA
Rfam family: Bacterial small subunit ribosomal RNA
Source: RNAcentral
GACGAACGCUGGCGGCGUGCUUAACACAUGCAAGUCGAACGGAAAUGCCCUGCUUUUUUGGGUUAUUCGUGUGGAGCACGGGUGUGAAACACGUGUGUCCCCCCCCCUUCUCUCCGGGAUAACUUCACGAAACUGGGGCUAAUACCGGAUAUUAUCUCCUGCUGCCUGGGGGGGGUUGGAAAGUUUCGGUGGUGGGGUAUGGACUCGCUGCUGAUCCGCUCGUUGGUGGGGUAGUGGCUUACCAUGGCUUGGCUGGGUCGCCGGCCUGAGAGGGUGACCGGCCACAGUGGGACUGAGAUACGGCCCAGACUCCUACGGGAGGCAGCAGUAGGGAAUAUUGCACAAUGGGCGGAAGCCGGAUGCAGCAACGCGGCGUGCGGGAUGACGGCCUUCUGGUUGUAAACCGCUGGCGCCGGUGACGAAGCGUGAUUGACGGUAAUUGGUAAAGAAGCACCGGCUAACUACGUG